RNAcentral lists this unclassified non-coding RNA (219 nucleotides) under plant metagenome. Its description in RNAcentral is "partial contains small subunit ribosomal RNA and internal transcribed spacer 1". The stretch from base 1 to 46 matches the Rfam family "Eukaryotic small subunit ribosomal RNA", at positions 1786 to 1831 of the family's 1831-position model. The record is from RNAcentral.
AAGUCGUAACAAGGUUUCCGUAGGUGAACCUGCGGAAGGAUCAUUCAAGGGUUCUUAGUGACAUCUCGAAAGAGAUUCCUCCCAAGUAUCCCACCCCGUGUCAUAUACUCUGUUGCUUUGGCGGGGCGUGGCCUCCACUGCGGGUCUGCUCGUACGUACCCGCCAGAGGACCAAAGCUCUGAAUGUUAGUGAUGUCUGAUACUAUAUAAUAGUUAAAAC